Non-coding RNA from Acanthosepion pharaonis, 107 nucleotides. The record is from the annotation of a GenBank genome assembly. NCBI's taxonomy places the organism in Eukaryota, Metazoa, Mollusca, Cephalopoda, Sepiida, Sepiidae.
CGGCCGCAUCACGUUGAAACAUCGGAUCCCGUAAGAUCACCGAAGUUAAGCAACGUGUAGUCCGGUCAGUACCUAAAUAGCCGCUUGGGAAUAUCAGGUGCCGUAAG